RNAcentral lists this ribosomal RNA (430 nucleotides) under uncultured bacterium. Its description in RNAcentral is "bacterial SSU rRNA". It matches the Rfam family "Bacterial small subunit ribosomal RNA", at positions 354 to 796 of the family's 1533-position model. The record is from RNAcentral.
GUCGAGGAUCUUCGGCAAUGGGCGCAAGCCUGACCGAGCGACGCCGCGUGUGCGAUGAAGGCCUUCGGGUUGUAAAGCACUGUCGAGGGGAAGAAAAGGAAACUUGAUCGACCCCUGGAGGAAGCACGGGCUAAGUUCGUGCCAGCAGCCGCGGUAAGACGAACCGUGCAAACGUUGUUCGGAAUCACUGGGCUUAAAGGGCGCGUAGGCGGGCAAGCAAGUCGAAGGUGAAAUCCCACGGCUCAACCGUGGAAGUGCCCCCGAUACUGUUUGUCUGGAGGGAGAUAGGGGCGUGCGGAACUUCCGGUGGAGCGGUGAAAUGCGUAGAUAUCGGAAGGAACACCGGUGGCGAAAGCGGCGCGCUGGAUCUCUACUGACGCUGAGGCGCGAAAGCUAGGGGAGCGAACGGGAUUAGAUACCCCAGUAGUCC